CUUGGAGCCAGCUGAUUAUAGACUGAAACCUCCACAAACUAAGUUCACAGCAAAGAGUUUCCCUCAAGUCAGAAGAGAUUGAACAUGGACUUCUGAAAAAUACUGGAUUGUUGAAACUUUUGUGAAGAGAUUACUACAUUUCCAGUUGUAUGCAAGACAUUUGUAUCAUGUGAGGAGUUCUUAACUUAUGUUUAUUUGUAGAGACUUGUUGUGGACCUUGUGAAGAAGUUUGUAGAGCUUCCACUCUGACCACUCAUCACUAAACUAAUAUGAAGCUCCUCCCGAACCAGUAUUCAGUAUCUGCCUACUUCCUGGAUGGCUUUUGGGACUAGGCCCUCAAGGACUACUAUAGCUUCAGGGUUUUGAUUACUCAGGGACAGUCCUCUGAGAAGAGCAACGGGAUGCUGGAAUAGAAACACCCUCAGAAACACCUACAUGAGUCUGCCUUUGAAGACCACUUCCUGGGCCUUCUGCCUCGCCACUGACCGCAAGGACUGCCACUUCUAAAGAAUGAGCCAAAAGAAACUUCACCUCUGUUAAAGUUGUGGGUGUCCAGUAUUUUGUCCUAGCUACAAGGGAAGUGAUUAAGGUACCUCACAACCUUUUUAACUAUCACUCAAACUUAAUAUCAUUAAGCAACCAGGUUUAUCAACUAUACAAUGGAAAAGAAGAAGCAACAGUAUCACAAGGCAAAAAAAAAGCUUUGAAGGAAAAACCUUUCCUCUGUAUUUUCACUGCAUUUUCUAAGCCAGCGAGAAGAGCCAUGAUGAUAUUGGUUAUUUAAUCAAUAAAGGUGUGUUGAACUGUCAAUUAAUAUAUAAGUUUAAUGGCCUUAUUAAAUUUCUUAGCAAGAAGCUUAAGCUAUUGCUUUCUUCUCUGCUGCUUUUCAAUCAUAUACAGUCAUCAUGAGAAGUUCAAAUCUACAGUCUAAACUGCGAUGCACAGGGCACAGAGGUAAUCAGGAGCAUCCCCCUUUCUUAAUCAUCUUUUCCAAUUCAAGAGUGCUCUCCAAGUGUAUGAAUGGCUCAGACAUUACGACAAAUGAUGUAAACUACUCUUACACAUACUGUUUCUAUACUUACCUUUGAAAAUACUAUACUCUAAAAUUCCUCUAAUAAGCCCUCUAGAAAACUAUUUUUCUCUUGAGACAGGUUUUCUUGGCAAAAAGUUGAAUCUAAUAAAUUGUCAACCAAAAUGAGAGUCCCAUCCCAAAUCACAGGUGGAUAUAUUACUGCAUUAGUUUCAUAAAACUUGCAAGGCCCUAUAUUUUGCAAGUAGGCUCAUUUACUGAACAUAUAAAUUUUGCCAAAUUUCACUUCAAAUUUUUCAAAUUUUGACAAAUUUAAUGUAGAAACUGGUGAGAUAACUAUAUGAUAUUAAUUAGCCUUUAUAUUUCAUUAGGUCCUG
Molecule: long non-coding RNA, 1407 nt
Organism: Chinchilla lanigera (long-tailed chinchilla)
Lineage: Eukaryota; Metazoa; Chordata; Mammalia; Rodentia; Chinchillidae
Exons: 5
Source: RefSeq, a predicted model, not a curated record